RNAcentral lists this ribosomal RNA (303 nucleotides) under Triticum aestivum (bread wheat). RNAcentral describes it as "partial small subunit ribosomal RNA". The record is from RNAcentral. Lineage: Eukaryota; Viridiplantae; Streptophyta; Magnoliopsida; Poales; Poaceae.
AUGACCCCAAGUACCUCUCCGAAAACAAGACGUAUACCGCUACCGUCGCAAGAAUCGAGACCGACAAGUCCGAAGAUGCAAGUACCACUCCAAACCAGUUCCGUUAACGUCGCGUUUGUGAGGAUCCGUUCGACUACGUUCGUUUGUCUUCUUCAUGGACUCGUUCUUCUUCCUUGCGGGAUCUCAGGCAAGAUGAUCAUACCCUCGAAAUCACUUCUAUCUUUGCUUGCUAGAUGCUCGCUCUUUUUCUAUGCCUAUGCUACGAUGCCUACCACUUGCUUAUCAUGCCUCCCAUAUUGUUGA